GAUGAACGCUGGCGGCGUGCCUAAUACAUGCAAGUCGAGCGAACAGACGAGGAGCUUGCUCCUCUGACGUUAGCGGCGGACGGGUGAGUAACACGUGGAUAACCUACCUAUAAGACUGGUAUAACUUCGGGAAACCGGAGCUAAUACCGUAUAAUAUAUUGAACCGCAUGGUUCAAUAGUGAAAGACGGUUUUGCUGUCACUUAUAGAUGGAUCCGCGCCGCAUUAGCUAGUUGGUAAGUUAACGGCUUACCAAGGCAACGAUGCGUAGCCGACCGGAGAGGGUGAUCGGCCACACUGGAACUGAGACACGGUCCAGAAUCCUAAGGGAGGCAGCAGUAGGGAAUCUUCCGCAAUGGGCGAAAGCAUGACGGAGCAACGCCGCGUGAGUGAUGAAGGUCUUCGGAUCGUAAAACUCUGUUAUUAGGGAAGAACAAAUGUGUAAGUAACUAUGCACGUAUUGACGGUACCUAAUAAGAAAGCCACGGCUAACUACGUG
Molecule: ribosomal RNA, 497 nt
Filed under: uncultured bacterium
Lineage: Bacteria
Description: partial 16S ribosomal RNA
Rfam family: Bacterial small subunit ribosomal RNA
Source: RNAcentral